Molecule: ribosomal RNA, 253 nt
Filed under: uncultured bacterium
Lineage: Bacteria
Description: partial 16S ribosomal RNA
Rfam family: Bacterial small subunit ribosomal RNA
Source: RNAcentral
UACGUAGGGACCGAGCGUUGUCCGGAAUCAUUGGGCGUAAAGAGCGUGUAGGCGGCCACUUAAGUCCUGCGUGAAAUCUUGCGGCUCAACCGCAAGCGGUCGUGGGAAACUGGGUGGCUAGAGUGCGGGAGAGGAGAGUGGAAUUCCUGGUGUAGCGGUGGAAUGCGCAGAUAUCAGGAGGAACACCAAUGGCGAAGGCAGCUCACUGGGACGGUAUUGACGCUGAGACGCGAAAGCGUGGGGAGCAAACAGG